RNAcentral lists this ribosomal RNA (506 nucleotides) under uncultured bacterium. Its description in RNAcentral is "bacterial SSU rRNA". It matches the Rfam family "Bacterial small subunit ribosomal RNA", at positions 29 to 529 of the family's 1533-position model. The record is from RNAcentral.
AUUGAACGCUGGCGGCAUGCCUAACACAUGCAAGUCGAACGGUAACGCGGGGGCAACCCUGGCGACGAGUGGCGGACGGGUGAGUAAUACGUAGGAAUCUGCCCAUUUGUGGGGGAUAACCCGGCGAAAGCCGGGCUAAUACCGCAUACGCUCUACGGAGGAAAGCGGGGGAUCGUAAGACCUCGCGCUAAUGGAUGAGCCUACGUCGGAUUAGCUAGUUGGUGGGGUAAUGGCCUACCAAGGCGACGAUCCGUAGCUGGUCUGAGAGGACGAUCAGCCACACUGGGACUGAGACACGGCCCAGACUCCUACGGGAGGCAGCAGUGGGGAAUAUUGGACAAUGGGGGCAACCCUGAUCCAGCAAUGCCGCGUGUGUGAAGAAGGCCUGCGGGUUGUAAAGCACUUUCAGAGGGGAAGAAAAAAGUCGGGGCUAAUACCUCCGAUCUUGACGUUACCCUUAGAAGAAGCACCGGCUAACUCCGUGCCAGCAGCCGCGGUAAUACGGA